RNAcentral lists this ribosomal RNA (424 nucleotides) under uncultured Pasteuria sp. Its description in RNAcentral is "bacterial SSU rRNA". It matches the Rfam family "Bacterial small subunit ribosomal RNA", at positions 28 to 480 of the family's 1533-position model. The record is from RNAcentral. Lineage: Bacteria; Bacillati; Bacillota; Bacilli; Caryophanales; Pasteuriaceae.
AAUGAACGUUGGCGGCGUGGAUUAGGCAUGCAAGUCGAGCGAGAACCGUAGCAAUACGGGGACAGCGGCGUAAGGGAGAGUAACGGGUGGGUACCUACCCUCGGAUCUGGGAUAGCCACGGGAAACUGUGGGUAAUACCAGAUGAUGUCUUCGGACCAAAGGUGUGAUUCCGUCCGAGGAGGGGCCCGCUUCCUAUUAGCUAGUUGGUAGGGUGACGGCCUACCAAGGCUUUGAUGGGUAUGGGGUGUGAGAGCAUGACCCCACUCACUGGGACUGAGACACUGCCCAGACACCUACGGGUGGCUGCAGUCGAGGAUCUUCGGCAAUGGGCGAAAGCCUGACCGAGCGACGCCGCGUGCGGGAUGAAGGCCUUCGGGUUGUAAACCGCCGUCGGAGGGGAGGAAAUUCCAGGGGGUUCUCCCCC